Molecule: ribosomal RNA, 441 nt
Filed under: Bacillus sp. F134
Lineage: Bacteria; Bacillati; Bacillota; Bacilli; Caryophanales; Bacillaceae
Description: bacterial SSU rRNA
Rfam family: Bacterial small subunit ribosomal RNA
Source: RNAcentral
CUGGGUAACCUGCCUGUAAGACUGGGAUAACUCCGGGAAACCGGAGCUAAUACCGGAUAGUUCCUUGAACCGCAUGGUUCAAGGAUGAAAGACUGUUUCGGCUGUCACUUACAAAUGGACCCGCGGCGCAUUACCUAGUUGGUGGGGUAAUGGCUCACCAAGGCGACGAUGCGUAACCGACCUGAGAGGGUGAUCGGCCACACUGGGACUGAGACACGGCCCUGACUCCUACGGGAGGCAGCAGUUGGAAUCUUCCGCAAUGGACGAAAGUCUGACGGAGCAACUCCGCGUGAGUGAUGAAGGUUUUCGGAUCGUAAAACUCUGUUGUUAUGGAAGAACACCUGCGACAGUAACUGCUCGCACCUUGACGGUACCUAUCCAAAUUGCCGCGGCUAACUACCUGCCAGCCGCCUCUGUAAUACAUAGGUGGCAACCGUUAUC